This 253-nucleotide ribosomal RNA is filed under the name uncultured bacterium. RNAcentral's name for it is "partial 16S ribosomal RNA". It matches the Rfam family "Bacterial small subunit ribosomal RNA", at positions 524 to 776 of the family's 1533-position model. The record is from RNAcentral.
UACGUAGGUGGCAAGCGUUGUCCGGAUUUACUGGGCGUAAAGAGCGCGCAGGCGGUCGUUCAAGUCUGGUGUGAAAGCCCCCGGCUCAACUGGGGAGGGUCACGCGAUACUGAUCGACUCGAAGGCAGGAGAGGGAAGUGGAAUUCCCGGUGUAGUGGUGAAAUGCGUAGAUAUCGGGAGGAACACCAGUGGCGAAGGCGACUUCCUGGCCUGUUCUUGACGCUGAGGCGCGAAAGCUAGGGGAGCAAACGGG